Long non-coding RNA from Passer domesticus (house sparrow), 1395 nucleotides. RefSeq lists it as uncharacterized. The transcript is spliced from 4 exons. Lineage: Eukaryota; Metazoa; Chordata; Aves; Passeriformes; Passeridae. The record is from RefSeq and is a predicted model, not a curated record.
UGUGCAUCUCCUUCACCCAGCAUGGCCUGUGGGUACUCACUGGAUACUCAUCUGAGCUGAGGUCCUUCUAGAGCACUACCUUUGGCUUUGUAACAAUUGGGUUUAACUGGCAAGCCCUGAGUUUACAAUAUGAUGCUGUGUUUUCACUAUAGGAAUACCCCAAUUUCGAGUCCAGCCAUUCAUUUAAUUCCUGAAAAACGUGUCCAUGUCUGGAGGCUCAGAUUAUGAAGUUGCCAACAUUUCUGUGAAUUCAGUUGAGUGUCAGGAGUUCUCCAACCCUUUUAACUUCAGAGAAGACCCACCUAACUGGAAUAUCAAGAAAUAGCAUGAUGUUGUCCUUCAGGGUCUUCCUGUGCCUUUCCACAGGACAGCCUGUGUUGUGGAAAUGGAAGAAGGCAUAUUUAUGGAAGAAGCUGACAUCUGCAAGAGCCUUGGGUCAGAUGGAACCUUGCAUAAAAAGAGAAAAUAAGCAAAAUUUAUUGGAAAGGAAACCAGGUCUUUUACUGCUUUUAGCUUGGUCCCUGCUUCCAUUUCCCUCCUACUUGAGAUGCUUUGCAAAAAUAUGGGCAACUCCAUGAAAUCUGAGGCAACCCUGUGCUGGUAACCUAAACCAAUGGGAGGCUGAAGGUAAUUAUUCCAUGGCCUUAGAAUGCAAAAAUCUGCGUUCAUCGACUCUUUGCUCUCACAUGAUGCUCAUCUUGGUUAUCCUCCAGUCCAUCCGAUUGUGAAACGUGGAAGAAUCAGCUUAGAAGGGAGCCUGGGUUGAAAGGCUCCAUGUAAAUGAAAAUUUAAUUAUUAUGAAACCACCUCAAAGAGUACACCCUCAUUUCACCUGUCCUAUUUUGCCUGUACCUCAGCCUGAGAAAGCUGGCAGAAUGAAGAGGACUUGUUGGGGGAAUAGAGGAUUUGGGCUGAGGGCCCUGCUGAGUGCAAGGCAGCAUGUACUCACAGUAAGCGUGCCAGCCAGACCUCCACACAUCCUGUAUCCAGUGCUGACCUUUCCUGUCAUUCCUCCCUCCUUGCCAGCAAAGGCCACGUGCUUUCAGCUUCUUAAAAGCUGUUCCUGCUUCUGCUCACAGCCACAAUAUGUGGUGGGGGGAGUAAACAAGCAAAGGAUGUGGCUGGCAGAUUUGUAGUUUGGAAGGGUACAGGAAAGUGGGAUGCCUUGAUUUCCCUUGCAUUGCCAAAAACCUGAAAAACCCCAAGUUUAAGCCUCCUCAGCUUUAGGCUUUAGCCAUUCUUUUCUUUUCUUUUCUUUUCUUUUCUUUUCUUUUCUUUUCUUUUCUUUUCUUUUCUUUUCUUUUCUUUUCUUUUCUUUUCUUUUCUUUUCUUUUCUUUUCUUUUCUUUUCUUUUCUUUUCUUUUCUUUUCUUUUCUUCUUUUCUUUUCUUGUUUU